This 375-nucleotide ribosomal RNA is filed under the name uncultured eukaryote. RNAcentral's name for it is "partial 18S ribosomal RNA". It matches the Rfam family "Eukaryotic small subunit ribosomal RNA", at positions 592 to 976 of the family's 1831-position model. The record is from RNAcentral.
CAAUAGCGUAUAUUUAAGUUGUUGCAGUUAAAAAGCUCGUAGUUGGAUUUCGGUUAAGAGCGACCGGUCCGCCGUUUGGUGUGCACUGGUUGGUUUUAACUUCCUGUAGAGGACGUGCUCUGGGUUUAACGACCUGGACUCGGAGUCUACGUGGUUACUUUGAAAAAAUUAGAGUGUUCAAAGCGGGCUUACGCUUGAAUAUUUCAGCAUGGAAUAACACUAUAGGACUCCUGUCCUAUUUCGUUGGCCUCGGGACGGGAGUAAUGAUUAAGAGGAACAGUUGGGGGCAUUCGUAUUUCAUUGUCAGAGGUGAAAUUCUUGGAUUUAUGAAAGACGAACUUCUGCGAAAGCAUUUGCCAAGGAUGUUUUCAUUAA